This 21-nucleotide non-coding RNA is filed under the name Arabidopsis thaliana (thale cress). The record is from RNAcentral. Lineage: Eukaryota; Viridiplantae; Streptophyta; Magnoliopsida; Brassicales; Brassicaceae.
CCAUGGUUUCGAAUAGUGCAA